Molecule: ribosomal RNA, 522 nt
Filed under: uncultured Archaeosporaceae
Lineage: Eukaryota; Fungi; Glomeromycota; Glomeromycetes; Archaeosporales; Archaeosporaceae
Description: SSU rRNA
Rfam family: Eukaryotic small subunit ribosomal RNA
Source: RNAcentral
AGCAGCCGCGGUAAUUCCAGCUCCAAUAGCGUAUAUUAAAGUUGUUGCAGUUAAAAAGCUCGUAGUUGAAUUUUGGAUUCUUCCAAUUGGUCCAUCUUUUAGAUGAGUACUGGUUGUGUGGGGUCUAUCCGCCUGGUGAUACGUAAUGUCCUUUAUUGGAUGUUGCGGGUAGUCAGGACCUUUACCUUGAAAAAAUUAGAGUGUUUAAAGCAGGCUUAUGCCGGAAUACAUUAGCAUGGAAUAAUAGAAUAGGACGAAGUUGUUUUAUUUUGUUGGUUUCUAGGACAACCGUAAUGAUUAAUAGGGAUAGUUGGGGGCAUUAGUAUUCAAUUGUCAGAGGUGAAAUUCUUGGAUUUAUUGAAGACUAACUACUGCGAAAGCAUUUGCCAAGGAUGUUUUCAUUAAUCAAGAACGAAAGUUAGGGGAUCGAAGACGAUCAGAUACCGUCGUAGUCUUAACCAUAAACUAUGCCGACUAGGGAUCGGGCGAUGUUGUUUCCAUGACUCGCUCGGCACCUUAUGG